Molecule: long non-coding RNA, 2555 nt
Organism: Dasypus novemcinctus (nine-banded armadillo)
Lineage: Eukaryota; Metazoa; Chordata; Mammalia; Cingulata; Dasypodidae
Source: Ensembl
GUCCCGGCUCGCCCAUCUCCUUGCUCCCUCCCCAUCGUUCAGAUGGGGGGAAACUGAGGCUGGAAGGGAACCAGAGGCCGAGGAAGGGAUCAGGCCCAAAGAAAUGGGGGUGGGGGGGACCGGGACAGGUGCGGAGUAAUGGGGGGGUAGUUGGCGUCCCCCAGCCCCCCGCCCCCCUCGCCCGGCCCCAGGCUGUCGGGGUAAAAGCCCACAGGCUCCGCAGGUAGGUCCCGGCAGGGAGAGGGCGGGGUCCCGGCCACCCCCGGGAGAGUGGGGGAGGGGAGGCGGGAUUGACAGUCGGUAAUUGGGUAACUGGAGGCGGCUUCUCCGGCCGGGCAGCCCCGCCACCGCGACGCCGGGCCCCUGACGUCACCCGAUUCGCCAGGAAAUGAACUUUUUAAUAAUCCGGGGAGGGAGGAAAGCCCUCGGCCCCCCUGGCUUGGGGGGCGCCCGGCCGGGCCCAGCUCGGCAGGCGCGCCCCCUUCGUCCCGGCUCCCCGGUUGCACCCCCCUCGCCCCCUCCCAGGCCAGCUCUGGGCAGCGCGGACGCGGGCGCAGGCCGCGGCCGGGGUCCUCCGCCUGCCACUGCGUCCGGCGGCCCGAGUGUCGGUCCGAGGCCCCGGCACAGUGACCAGUGCUGAGGGAGGCUCUCCGCUGAGCACUGAGGGACACACGUGGAAGCAGAUACUAGUGACCACGUGCAGGCAGGCAAGUUAGUGCGGUCGAGGACACGGGCGCAUCACCAGGCCGUGUUAAUUCCAGGCUGCCGUCCUCAGAAGCACCGGGCGCUUGCUGGAGGAGAGGCACUUACCCUCAUCUGGGAGCAUAAUACCUAAAGAAUGCCUGCAAAUGGAUGACUUUAAAAAGCAGCAGUACAAUAGAGAAAACAGCCAAAGGGUAUGAACAUAAAAACCAUAGAAAAAGAAAUAGAAAUGUCUCUUAAAUGAAUGAAAUAAAUCUCAGUCACACUCGUAAAAAGAGAAAUGAAAGUCAAAACCAUAUCAAGAUAUUUAGGGGGAGCAGAUAGUGCUCAACUGGGUGAGCAUCUGCUUCCCGUGGAAGAGGUUUUAGGGUCGAUCCCCAGUACCUCCUAAAAAAAACCAAGCAAACAUAAAAACCAACUCCCAUUGGGGAGUGGAUGUAGCUCAGGGGUUGAUCACCUGCUUCCAAUGUACAAGGUCCUGGGUUCAAUCCCCAGUGUCUCCUUUGAAAAAAAAAAGAAAACAUAGGUAGUUGGGGUGAAGGAGAUGUUCUAAAAUUAGAUUUGUGGUGAUGGUUGUAACUCUGUACGUUUACUAGAAAUCACUGAAGUACCCAUUUAAAAUAAGUGAAUUUUAUACUAUAUAAAUUACCUUCAAGAAAGCUGUUUAAAACAUAAAAAAUAAAAUACCCUCUGAGAUUCCAUUUUAGACCCCUCAGUAUCAGCAAAUAUCAUAAAAUCUGAGAACAUACUGUGUUAUCAAGGGUGUGGGGAGACAGGCCAGUGGAAGGAUAAACUGAUGCAUUCUUGGGGUGGGAUGAGCCAGUUGACAGAUUUACCAACACAGUCACCCCUUCAGCCACUAGUUCCGUUUAUAGGACUUUAUCCGAUAGAUUUGUUCUUGUGCCUGUGAAAUUUCAUAUUUAUAUUCACCAUUGCCUUAUACAUUAUGACAAAGGGUUAGAAAGAAAAGAUGUUCCUUGAAAAGUGACAGUUAAAGUAAUGUAUGACAGCCAAGCAGUGGAAUGUUACGCUGCUGUCAAAAAGAAAGAAAAGGAGGGGAAGAAGAGGGAAGGAAGGGAAGGCAGCUCAUUAUGUGCUGAUAGCAAAUGGUCUCAAGAUAUAGCAAAAAGAUAAAGAAGAAGAAAACGCGUGGUGUGCUUCCAUUUGAUUAAGUUGGGGAUAGGGAGAGAGAGCUGUUCUUAUUUGCUUACAUAUUUAUAGAAUUUCUCUGGAAGGAAGCAAAAGACACUGAUAAGAGUGGCUGACACCUUCAGCAGUACCUGGUUUGGGCUGGGGGCCAGUGUUGGGAGGAAGACUUUUCACUGUGUCCCCUCUGAGUCUUUGAUUCUGGUUAAAAUGUGAUUAUGGAUAUGUGUAGGUGUGUGUCCUUACACAAGACAAAACAAAAAAUUGAUUGAAAUAGAUGUUUGCUGGGAAGAGAAGUGAGGGACACAAUGCAAGUCAUUGGCUAGAGCUUAAUGAAACAAGAAUUGUGCAUGGCUGGCAGGAGUGUGCCUUGGUACUAGUAUUUUGAGGAGUAAUUUGGCUACAUCUGAUAAAGUUAAAGAUACAAAGGCCACAUGACCCAGCAAAUCCUCUCCUAGGCAUGUGGGAAACCCUCACGUGUGAGCGGAGGGGAAGUGGGCAAGGAUGAAGCUUUGGACACAAUCGGAUGGCCCAUCUUGGAGCAACGAGGUAGCUAAAGGCGACGUUCUUAGGAUGCCCCCCAGCAACUACAGUGUGCUUUAUCUGUAAGCAUCUGCCUGGUUAGACAUGAGGUCCAUAAUGUUGUAAUCAAACAACUGGCAGAAUUUUAAACAAAAGACUGUACUGUAUAUUGUUAAUGGAAAUGA